Molecule: long non-coding RNA, 1039 nt
Organism: Pseudophryne corroboree (corroboree frog)
Lineage: Eukaryota; Metazoa; Chordata; Amphibia; Anura; Myobatrachidae
Exons: 3
Source: RefSeq, a predicted model, not a curated record
GUGGGCUAACGCCUGAUAUUUAUACAGGUCAGGGAGCCCCAGCCUUGCACAAUCAUAGCGGUUCAGAUUGAGCAGUAUGGUGAACAUAGCUGUCCGUCUGGUGAACACAGGACAGCAGGACUUGAUGUGUGUCUUCGGGGAGUGACUACAAUGAAGGACAGGACUGCCAGAGCAUUGCACAGACUGCUACGAUAAUUGCAACACUCCUCACACUAAAGUAUGCUCCAUCUUCUCUUUUCUCCUGCUGCUUCUGUCUCUUUGCAGUCUGUCUUCAAACUGCAAUAUAUGUCUCUGGAUCAAGAUAUAGACUUCAUCAUCGGCCUACUAGAAAUGUACCGUGGCUAUGAAUGUCUGUGGAAGAUCAAAGCCAAGGGGUAUUUGGAUAAAGUGCGGCGAAAUGCGGCCUUGGAGGAGCUAGUGGAGUACAGCAGGCCUUUUGUGUUCGGUGCUGACAAGGACUGGGUAAAGAAAAAGAUACAGAACUUGCGUAUGGUGUUCCUCAAAGAACACACAAAAAAUGGAACAGUCCAAAAGAUCUGGAGCAGGUUCCUCUCAGGUUUACAAGAAUAAUUUAACAAUUUCUAUAACUGACUACGUAGGAUACUGGCGCUAGAUAGUACAUCAGUAAGACUUAAUAUUAUAGAAGAAAAUUCGGGGCUGACACUGCAGUGUCUCCGGGAGAGGGCAGCCAGGUCAGCACAACAGGGGGCGCGGCAUCAAGGUGCAUGGGUGGAGCAGGGGCAUAGAGGUGCGAUUGCAUCAUCGCAGCCCCGCUCUACAAUGACCAGCUACCAUCUUUGAAGAAUGGGGGGGCGGGUCUACGAUAUCACAAUUCGUGUCAUUGCCCCAUCCACUUGCAGUAGGUAAGAGUUGACUGCGGCGGUGUACGGGUGGCUGGGGGAGCUGGUCGGCUGGCGUAAGCAGGCUCCUGGAGACUUGCCCUGCUUUCCGGGGGGCCGGGAUUGCCAUCUGAUUUUCAGGAGCCUCCCGGACGUUCCAAGAGGGUAGGCAAGUAUGAUGCACUGUAACUUGAAAUGAC